GCCAGCGUGGCAUAGUGGUUUGGAUGAUGGACUGUGACUCUGGAGGCCAGGAUUCGAAUCCCCACUCAGCCA
Non-coding RNA from Phrynosoma platyrhinos (Desert horned lizard), 72 nucleotides. The record is from the annotation of a GenBank genome assembly. Lineage: Eukaryota; Metazoa; Chordata; Lepidosauria; Squamata; Phrynosomatidae.